Molecule: long non-coding RNA, 198 nt
Organism: Etheostoma spectabile (orangethroat darter)
Lineage: Eukaryota; Metazoa; Chordata; Actinopteri; Perciformes; Percidae
Exons: 2
Source: RefSeq, a predicted model, not a curated record
CAUGUCAUAGCAGGGCGCCGCAGUGCGUUGCAGGGAGUGCAGCAGGACCACGGCGACAGCUGCAACCAAGAUCUUGGUGCCAUCAUGAUCCAAGGAAAUAGGCUGGGCGAAAAGAAAACGUAAGGACUCAUGGGAGUAAACUCCCCAGAAGUAGGUUAGUAACAGGCAUUCCUGGGACAGGAUGCACGCAAACGGAAA